UGGCGCGGCUCGGGGAGCAGGCGGUGAUGGCGGGCGGGCUGAACGCGAAGGUGGCCUGCAGCAGGAACCUUGAGCGGCGGCUGGCACCGCAGGGCGGGCUCACCCGGGGCAGCAAGCAAAGGUAGCAGAAACUCCACAGAUGUAGCAGUUGGUGAAGGGUCCUGUGUUUGGUGAGGUAGGGUGUUAAUAAGGUCCCAGUGCAAUGGCUGCUCUUACGAGCAGAUCUCCACUCACAGUGGAAGGCAGCAGGAGCAGAACCCUCAGUAGUGGUGAAUUCUUCCCACAGCGACUAUGGCCUCUUUCCCUUCCAAAUGCUGAGUGAGCCAGAAGGAGCUAGCACCUGCCCCAGCCCCAUUUUCCCCAGUCCAACUCCUGCAGUAUCUCCGCCCUCUGAGAGAAGCCCUCAGAUAAGAGGAGUGCAGCUAAGUGCCCUCCUCCCCGGACCUUGGCAACUUCUUUUGUCUCUCUGAAGUACCUGGGCCUUACUGUCUCCUGGCAACACAUACGGGAGAAAAUUCCCCGAGAGAAAGAAACUAAAGGAAGAGUCCUAAACCCCAACACCUCUUCAAAUACAUCUUCAGUUUUAUAUGAAACUCACGAUUCUCAAGUCCAGUGGAACACAGGAUCCAAAGGGCUGGAGAGAUCACAUUGAAAUUAACUUUUUGUGAGGCAGACUCGCAGCCAUGAGUCCAGAUAAUACUAGUCUGGCAUGGGUCACAAGUUGGGCUUUGAGAUUGGUUUUCCUUGCCCCUGGAGGUAAUGAGCUCCUGAAGAGCAAUUACAGUACGAGUAGCAGCAGUGUCCCAUCUGCACCCUUCCAGUGAAAUAUCCAGUCUUUUUUGUCUUGGAGGAAGAUGGCCUUUUGGAUGACAGAAAUUGUCAAUAGCUCCAUAUCAGGGAGCAGCAAGAGCAGGCUGCCCAGCAACGACAGGGAAGUCAGAAGCUGAGCAUAAUAACAAGGCUGGCAGAGGUCUCACUGCCAGAGGUCUCACAGCACCAAAACAAGGUAAGCAGAGAAGCUCUAGUAAGGGUAACCAGGGUAACAAGGUUCAACUAAGGAUCCUAGUCUCUAAUCAAGUUCUUGAUGAUGAAGCAGUUCCAAGGUCAGUCUGGGGAGGUGAUCAGGUCCAAACGCAUUGUCCUGGAUCAGACACAGGUCAAUGCCUCCAUGGUCAAGCCAGGAAGUCAGACCAUGGGUCAGAGUUAAGGUUUGGCUUAAUGGGGUAGCUCUCUAGGCAUAGACAUAGGCAUGACUUCUGCCCGGCUCCAGGGUAACCUAGGCAGGAACCAACAGUGAGAAACUCAGCAGAGAGCCUUGCUGAAACUCGUUAGAAGUCUUUUGGGGAGUCCUUUGACAGAGACUCCUUCCAUCUGUUUCCUCAUACUGUGUAACCAGCAAGCUUGCCUUGACUACAGAAAGAUGAAUUCAAAGGGAAGGCAUGCAGUUAGGAUGCUAAUAGUUUGAUUUUUAUGAGACACUGCAAUUCAUCUUGAAAUGAAUAUGCACUUUUCUACUUAUUUUUUAAUAAAUCCCAUGUUUUAAGAUAGCA
Cyanistes caeruleus (blue tit) is the source of this 1550-nucleotide long non-coding RNA. NCBI's taxonomy places the organism in Eukaryota, Metazoa, Chordata, Aves, Passeriformes, Paridae. The record is from Ensembl.